GAUGAAGAACGCAGCGAAAUGCGAUAAGUAAUGUGAAUUGCAGAAUUCCGUGAAUCAUCGAAUCUUUGAACGCACAUUGCGCCCUUUGGUAUUCCAAAGGGCAUGCCUGUUCGAGCGUCAUUUGUACCCUCAAGCUUUGCUUGGUGUUGGGCGUCUUGUCUCUAGCUUUGCUGGAGACUCGCCUUAAAGUAAUUGGCAGCCGGCCUACUGGUUUCGGAGCGGAGCACAAGUCGCACUCUCUAUCAGCAAAGGUCUAGCAUCCAUUAAGCCUUUUUUUCAACUUUUGACCUCGGAUCAGGUAGGGAUACCCGCUGAACUUAAGCAUAUCAAUAAGCGGAGGA
RNAcentral lists this unclassified non-coding RNA (341 nucleotides) under soil metagenome. RNAcentral describes it as "partial contains 5.8S ribosomal RNA, internal transcribed spacer 2, and large subunit ribosomal RNA". The stretch from base 1 to 120 matches the Rfam family "5.8S ribosomal RNA", at positions 35 to 154 of the family's 154-position model. The record is from RNAcentral.